This 495-nucleotide ribosomal RNA is filed under the name uncultured bacterium. RNAcentral's name for it is "partial 16S ribosomal RNA". It matches the Rfam family "Bacterial small subunit ribosomal RNA", at positions 29 to 506 of the family's 1533-position model. The record is from RNAcentral.
AUGAACGCUGGCGGCGUGCCUAAUCCAUGCCGGUCGAGCGAACAGACGAGGAGCUUGCUCCUCUGACGUUAGCGGCGGACGGGUGAGUAACACGUGGAUAACCUACCUAUAAGACUGGGAUAACUUCGGGAAACCGGAGCUAAUACCGGAUAAUAUAUUGAACCGCAUGGUUCAAUAGUGAAAGACGGUUUUGCUGUCACUUAUAGAUGGAUCCGCGCCGCAUUAGCUAGUUGGUAAGGUAACGGCUUACCAAGGCAACGAUGCGUAGCCGACCUGAGAGGGUGAUCGGCCACACUGGAACUGAGACACGGUCCAGACUCCUACGGGAGGCAGCAGUAGGGAAUCUUCCGCAAUGGGCGAAAGCCUGACGGAGCAACGCCGCGUGAGUGAUGAAGGUCUUCGGAUCGUAAAACUCUGUUAUUAGGGAAGAACAAAUGUGUAAGUAACUAUGCACGUCUGGACGGUACCUAAGCAGAAAGCCACGGCUAACUACGG